GGAGGGUAUAGCUCAAGUGGUAGAGCAUGUGCUUAUUAUGCACGAGGUCCUAGGUUCAAUCCCCAGUACCUCCA
Molecule: transfer RNA, 74 nt
Filed under: Vicugna pacos (alpaca)
Lineage: Eukaryota; Metazoa; Chordata; Mammalia; Artiodactyla; Camelidae
Description: tRNA-Asn (ATT) (tRNA-Asn-ATT-12-1)
Rfam family: tRNA
About the family: Transfer RNA (tRNA) molecules are approximately 80 nucleotides in length. Their secondary structure includes four short double-helical elements and three loops (D, anti-codon, and T loops). Further hydrogen bonds mediate the characteristic L-shaped molecular structure. tRNAs have two regions of fundamental functional importance: the anti-codon, which is responsible for specific mRNA codon recognition, and the 3' end, to which the tRNAs corresponding amino acid is attached (by aminoacyl-tRNA synthetases). tRNAs cope with the degeneracy of the genetic code in two manners: having more than one tRNA (with a specific anti-codon) for a particular amino acid; and 'wobble' base-pairing, i.e. permitting non-standard base-pairing at the 3rd anti-codon position.
Source: RNAcentral